UUCGCAAUGCCCGAAAGGGUGACGAAGCGACGCCGCGUGCGGGAAGAAGGCCUUCGGGUUGUAAACCGCUGUCGGGAGUUAAGAAAUGCAAGGGUGUUAACAGCGUCCUUGCUUGACUAAGGCUCCGGAGGAGGCCACGGCUAACUCUGUGCCAGCAGCCGCGGUAAUACAGAGGCGGCAAGCGUUGUUCGGAAUUAUUGGGCGUAAAGAGCACGUAGGCGGCUGUGUAAGUCGGUUGUGAAAGCCUUCCGCUCAACGGGAGAACGGCAUCCGAUACUGCAUGGCUUGAGUGCGGGAGGGGAGAGUGGAACUUCUGGUGGAGCGGUGAAAUGCGUAGAUAUCAGAAGGAACACCGGCGGCGAAGGCGACUCUCUGGCCCGUAACUGACGCUGAGUGUGCGAAAGCUAGGGGAGCAAACGGGAUUAGAUACCCCGGUAGUCCUAGCCGUAAACGAUGGGCACUAAGUAGAGGGGUUUU
RNAcentral lists this ribosomal RNA (477 nucleotides) under uncultured Planctomycetales bacterium. RNAcentral describes it as "bacterial SSU rRNA". It matches the Rfam family "Bacterial small subunit ribosomal RNA", at positions 365 to 832 of the family's 1533-position model. Lineage: Bacteria; Pseudomonadati; Planctomycetota; Planctomycetia; Planctomycetales. The record is from RNAcentral.